AAGCGGCAACAGCUCAAAUUUGAAAUCUGGCCCCCAGGGCCCGAGUUGUAAUUUGCAGAGGGAUGCUUUUGGCGCGGUGCCUUCCGAGUUCCCUGGAACGGGACGCCAUAGAGGGUGAGAGCCCCGUCUGGUCGGACGCCUAGCCUGUGUAAAGCUCCUUCGACGAGUCGAGUAGUUUGGGAAUGCUGCUCUAAAUGGGAGGUAUAUGUCUUCUAAAGCUAAAUACCGGCCAGAGACCGAUAGCGCACAAGUAGAGUGAUCGAAAGAUGAAAAGCACUUUGAAAAGAGGGUUAAAUAGUACGUGAAAUUGUUGAAAGGGAAGCGCUUGUGACCAGACUUGGGCCCGGUGGAUCAUCCAGCGUUCUCGCUGGUGCACUCCGCCGGGUUCAGGCCAGCAUCAGUUCGCCGCGGGGGAAAAAGGCUUCGGGAACGUGGCUCCUACGGGAGUGUUAUAGCCCGUUGCAUAAUACCCUGGGGCGGACUGAGGUUCGCGCUCCGCAAGGAUGCUGGCCUAAUGGUCAUCAGC
Molecule: ribosomal RNA, 526 nt
Filed under: Purpureocillium lilacinum
Lineage: Eukaryota; Fungi; Ascomycota; Sordariomycetes; Hypocreales; Ophiocordycipitaceae
Description: LSU rRNA
Rfam family: Eukaryotic large subunit ribosomal RNA
Source: RNAcentral